RNAcentral lists this ribosomal RNA (261 nucleotides) under uncultured Desulfomicrobium sp. Its description in RNAcentral is "partial 16S ribosomal RNA". It matches the Rfam family "Bacterial small subunit ribosomal RNA", at positions 1118 to 1382 of the family's 1533-position model. The record is from RNAcentral. Lineage: Bacteria; Pseudomonadati; Thermodesulfobacteriota; Desulfovibrionia; Desulfovibrionales; Desulfomicrobiaceae.
CCAGCACAUAAUGGUGGGCACUCUGUGGAGACUGCCGGUUAACCGGAGGAAGUGGGGAUGACGUCAAGUCAUCAUGGCCCUUACGCCUAGGGCUACACACGUACUACAAUGGUGGGUACAAAGGGCAGCGAAACCGCGAGGUCGAGCGAAUCUCAAAAAACCCAUCAUAGUCCGGAUUGCAGUCUGCAACUCGACUGCAUGAAGUUGGAAUCGCUAGUAAUCCCGGAUCAGCAUGCCGGGGUGAAUACGUUCCCGGGCCUU